CUUCGGGAGGCUAUAUCUCUUGUGGCCCGUUCAGUUUGAUGCCUUCCUGUGAUCGAAAAAAUGUACCCGACUUAAUGCAGUCCUUAUCAAGGAUCCCGAAUAUUUUUCCCAAUGAAGAAUUUUAGUAUUUAUUUAUUUAUUUUAUUAUUCGAUAACGGAAUCAAAAUAAUCCUUAUCCAACUUAUCUCUAUCUUCAGUAAUAAGAAAAACAAAAAACUACAAAAUAAUACAUGAAAUAGGAAAAAAUCUAUAAUUAACCGUCUGACGACUCCUUUCCCCUGGCAAAAGUCAAGCUGGCAACGCAUUGGGCUGGCGAAAAGCCCAACAGAUGGGCUAAUUAUUACCAUAGUUUGUCCGGUGGAGAUCAACCACAAAGGGUGCAUUGGUCCUUAGGCGCCUUGCAGGCGUAGAGGGAGGAGAGAUGCACGAUGCGAAAUCUGGGAACUUUUUGGAUGCCAGGAUAGGCUACAGCUUCAAAACGUAGGACUUACAUAUACGGUGUCCUAUCCAAGCAUUAGCGAGGCGCAUUGAAGACAGACUGAAUCCUAUCCCAACACCUUGCAAGAUACGAAACUAAGAAGCCAUCGUCAUCCUUCAUCCUGGCCAUCGACAACAAGGACUUUGACUUUGAUCUCGUUGUUGUUAGGUUUAAGGAUAAACUUUAGAUAGU
Molecule: small RNA, 670 nt
Filed under: Drosophila pseudoobscura pseudoobscura
Lineage: Eukaryota; Metazoa; Arthropoda; Insecta; Diptera; Drosophilidae
Description: GA31262
Source: RNAcentral